Long non-coding RNA from Gallus gallus (chicken), 1800 nucleotides. RefSeq lists it as uncharacterized. The transcript is spliced from 2 exons. NCBI's taxonomy places the organism in Eukaryota, Metazoa, Chordata, Aves, Galliformes, Phasianidae. The record is from RefSeq and is a predicted model, not a curated record.
GAGAUGCGGGCGAGCAGUCAAUUCUUGGACCUCCGGCUCAACGAUACUUUUCUUUUUUUCCUUCCCGAAUGUCCUUUGUCUAAUUUCUCGGGUGGUUUUGCGCCCGAGCCUGCCCCGGGAUCUGACUUUUUUGGCUCCCAGCGGUCCCUGCGCCCGUCGCAUGCGUAAUGAGGAGCCGAAGAAAUCGCAUGCGUAGAUGUGUACCCGAAAAUGCGCGUGCGAAAUGGUGUGUACGCGGUGCCGCAUGCGUAGUGCGCUGCCGAGACUUGCGCAUGCGUAGUGAUGUGCCCAGACUAGCGCAUGCGUAGUAACUCAUCGAGACUGGCGCAUGCGCAGUGUGGCGCCGAGGCUGGCGCAUGCGUAGCUCUUUCUCGAGACUUGCGCAUGCGUAGUAUUUUCUCAAUACUGGCGGGUCCUGGGAUGCUGCGGUGCCGGGUCCGCUUCACACCCGUAUCACGACCGCGAAUCUCCGAGCUGCUCAGGUUCCACUACUGCUGAGAGUGCUUUUAAACGGCCGGGGAAUGGUGCAGGGCUGGGGCUGGAAGGGGAAGUCUGCUGGUCCACCGCAGCGGCGAGCAAUUUGGAUGGCGCCAGGCGCUCAGGGGCAGCUGUGAGCCGAACCGGUCCGCUCCCGGGAUGGGCUCGGGCAUAAAACGGCGGAAAUAGAUGAGGGGCAUCCUAGUUUAGAAGGAGGACAUCGCUGAGCCGGCGGUCCGAGAAUCGACUGCUUGCCCGCACGCGUAGUGAUUAUUAGAAACAGUUGCUGGUUUUAAGUUGUCGGGCGCAUGCUCGCUAUUACCUGGAGGACUAAUCACAAUAGAGAGCGGCGGAUUAGCUGCACAGAGCGGUUAAAAAGCAACUUCCGCAUUUCUAUGCGCAUGCGUCGUGCUGCCUGCCGGACUAAACAGCAGACAGCUGCAGUUCCGCGCAUUGGCCACGAGGUGGCAGCAGAGACCGGGAAAAGAACUUGGACGUGAUUGAUGCGGCCCGCGGCGCAAUCGCUGGCGAUCUGUUCUCUCUUGUGAUGACGGGGAAAGAACACGAAAUUAGAAGUGGAGGGAAGUGGGGGUGAAGACGGAGAAAACAGAGGGAAACUUCUCCAAAGUCAGGAAAGCUGUGCUAAGUGCCUUACAAAAAAAAAAAAAAAAUUACUUUUUGCCAGCAUCUGUUGCACUGUUUUUAAAUAUUCACAUACCAAAAUUUAACUGCCCAGUAAAUUUAACGAUAACAAAAUCAAAGCACACUGUCAGAAAGCAGAGUGCCAUCUUGGUGUUCACUCAGCCUCUGUCUUGUUCAUACUUUAAUGUAUUUGUUUCCAGGUGCAUUUCUCCAACUCCAAGUUUCAUUUUUUUUUCUUUUUAUUCUUUGUAAUGCCAUGAAAUGGGUACUUUUAGGCCCUAGCAAGUCUAAACAUGCUGACGUUGCACAAAGCUGCAGUUUUGAGAUUCGUGUGGACCAUUACAUUGUUUCCACAAAGAUUAAUGAAAACUGCAAUUUUCAUUAAGCUGUCCACCUCAGUUUACAGCUGGAAAACAAUAAUUCACAUGCACAGAAAGAAUCAAUGUGUCACAGCUACCUCUGGAAGACAGCCUGAGAGUUGUGCAGGUCCAUCAGGCUCAGCUGCAGCUUUUCAUCUGCCCUUCUCUGGCCCUCCUGCAGCUGGAGAGAGAGCACAAGAAGGCACGUGGUCUGCAUGGUUCUUGAGCUCUUCCCACUGCAGGAGCUUAGAAGUGACAACCUGACCCAAAAAGGUAAUGAUAACGUACACACACAAAUAAACACCCAAUACAGAAUCUGGCA